Pezoporus occidentalis (night parrot) is the source of this 375-nucleotide long non-coding RNA. RefSeq lists it as uncharacterized. The transcript has 2 exons. NCBI's taxonomy places the organism in Eukaryota, Metazoa, Chordata, Aves, Psittaciformes, Psittacidae. The record is from RefSeq and is a predicted model, not a curated record.
GAAUAAAAGAUCUGCAGCUGCUGGAAUACCUUCUAAAACAAAGAGAAAACUGAUCAGGAAACAAGAAGCACGGAGAAGAAUUUUCAGUUACAUCAUUCAGGAAACAAUGUCACCCUUGGAGCCGUUAAUCGCGCAUAGCACAGCACUGCCUAGAAGAAACUAGAGCUAUCUGCAUGACUCACUGAGAAACAAUCCUACAGACCAGCCCACAUCUAAUGGGGAGUACUGCAGACAGAUCGAGGAAAGCAUAAGGAUUGAUGACAGUUUUACUUUUCAAGUGCGUCUGCAAGUCAUGAGUAGGAAGCUGAUCUUUAGUUUCUGUGAUGUAAAUAGUUGUGCUUCCAGUUGGACAUAAAACAGCCUGUGCUUUCCUAA